Molecule: long non-coding RNA, 1541 nt
Organism: Pongo pygmaeus (Bornean orangutan)
Lineage: Eukaryota; Metazoa; Chordata; Mammalia; Primates; Hominidae
Exons: 3
Source: RefSeq, a predicted model, not a curated record
GCUCUGUCGCCCAGGCUGGAGAGCAGCGGAAGGAUCUUGACUCACUGCAACCUCCGCCUCCUGGGGUCAAGUGAUUCUCCUGCCUCAGCCUCCAGAGUAGCUGGGAUUACAGGCGCACGCCACCACGCCAGGCUAAUUUUUGUAUUUUAAGUAGAGACAGGGUUUCACCAUGUUGGCCAGGCUAGCCUUGAACUCCUGACCUCAGGUGAUCCGCCUGCCUUGGCCUCCCAAAGUGCUGGGAUUACAGGCAUGAGCCACUGCAGCGGGCGGAAAAGUACAUAAUUGACUCUUCCCCUACCUGCUCCCUUUCCCUUGCAACACAUGCAUUGAGUCACAUGACCAUACCUUCCCUCUUUCCCCUGCAGCCAGCUUUUCUCCUUUAAAUACUGAAGCCCUCAAAAUUGUCUUUGGAGAAAGGCACAGACCUGUCUCCAGGUCAUGGCCUUAACCUUGGCAAAAUAAACUUCUAAAUGGAUUGAGACCUGUCUCAGAUACUUUUUGGUUUACAAGGGCGAGCCCACAAGGCUUUAGCGGACCUCUGGGAGCGUGCACAAAGAAGGGAUGCUUGAAUUGCUUGUUUUCUCAAGAAGUGUCAGGUCUGAGAGCCUGAAGCUACCCAUCCACCGUACCCCUCACGUCUCCUCCCUGCCUUACAGGGAGGGGAUUCAGCGUUGGGUUUUGACUGUCACCAGGACUGGACAUUCUGAUGACCGAAAAAGCAGGUGGCGUUUGUGACUAUAUAUACAUAAUACAACAGAGAAAGCCAAAAAUCCAAGGAACUGCAAGAAUUUUUAUCCGGGUGAAGAUUAUCCUCACAGAAUAAAGUUAGGUGAGGAAGACAUAAACAAAGCUGUAUUUGGAUAAUGUCCCGAGUCCUGUUUGUUCAACACACUGGUCACAGCAAGACGACUGACUGAAUUAGACUCCCGUGGCCUCUGCCCAGGCGGGAUAAGAACCUCAAACCCAGGAGGGAGCGGAGGAGACGGAGCGUGGCGAGACGCGCAUGAAAUUUUGUGCCGUGACUCGGAUCGAGGGACCUCCCUUGGGAGAUCAAUCCCCCGUCCUCCUGCUCUUUGCUCCAUGAGAAAGAUUCACCUACGACCUCAGGUCCUCAGACCGACCAGCCCAAGAAACAUCUCACCAAUUUCAAAUCCGUAUAAGAAGGCAGGAAUGUCAGGCCUCUGAGCCCAAGCCAAGCCAUCGCAUCCCCUGUGACUUGCACGUAUACACCCAGAUGGCCUGAAGUAACUGAAGAUCCACAAAAGAAGUAAAAAUAGCCUUAAUUGAUGACAUUCCACCAUUGUGAUUUGUUCCUGCCCCACCCUAACUGAUCAAUGUACUUUGUAAUCUCCCCCACCCUUAAGAAGUUUCUUUGUAAUUCUCCCCACCCUUGAGAAUGUACUUUGUGAGAUGCACCCCUGCCCGCAAAACAUUGCUCUUAACUUCACCACCUAUCCCAAAACCUAUAAGAACUAAUGAUAAUCCAUCUCCCUUUGCUGACUCUCUUUUCGGACUCAGCCCACCUGCACCCAACUGAAAUA